This 224-nucleotide long non-coding RNA is filed under the name Lathyrus oleraceus (garden pea). RNAcentral describes it as "Pisum sativum (pea) long non-coding RNA (PSAT_LNC034704)". Lineage: Eukaryota; Viridiplantae; Streptophyta; Magnoliopsida; Fabales; Fabaceae. The record is from RNAcentral.
AUUGGUUCACUCAAGUCAUUGUCUUGUCCAUCAUUCAAGUCAUGGUCUUAUUCAUCAUUCAUGUUAAUCCUAGACAUGUGUUAAGUUCAUCAUUUAGUUCACCAAUCCAUCCAUUUCAAUCUCUUUCAAACAUGUUCAUACAAUGAUUCAUGAUAUGGUAAAGUCAUUCAUUUCAUAUACAAGAUUCAAUUCAAGACCAAUUCAAUUUCAUUCAAAUAUAAGAA